Molecule: ribosomal RNA, 508 nt
Filed under: uncultured bacterium
Lineage: Bacteria
Description: bacterial SSU rRNA
Rfam family: Bacterial small subunit ribosomal RNA
Source: RNAcentral
GAUGAACGCUAGCUACAGGCUUAACACAUGCAAGUCGAGGGGCAGCAUCAUCAAAGCUUGCUUUGAUGGAUGGCGACCGGCGCACGGGUGAGUAACACGUAUCCAACCUGCCGACAACACUGGGAUAGCCUUUCGAAAGGAAGAUUAAUACCGGAUGGCAUAGUUUUCCCGCAUGGGAUAAUUAUUAAAGAAUUUCGGUUGUCGAUGGGGAUGCGUUCCAUUAGGCAGUUGGCGGGGUAACGGCCCACCAAACCUACGAUGGAUAGGGGUUCUGAGAGGAAGGUCCCCCANAUUGGAACUGAGACACGGUCCAAAACUCCUACGGGAGGCAGCAGUGAGGAAUAUUGGGUCAAUGGACGAGAGUCUGAACCAGCCAAGUAGCGUGAAGGAUGACUGCCCUAUGGGUUGUAAAACUUCUUUUAAUACGGGAAUAAAGUUAGCCACGUGUAGGUUUUUUGUAUGUACCGUAUGAAUAAGGAUCGGCUAACUCCGUGCCAGCAGCCGCGGU